RNAcentral lists this non-coding RNA (32 nucleotides) under Mus musculus (house mouse). Lineage: Eukaryota; Metazoa; Chordata; Mammalia; Rodentia; Muridae. The record is from RNAcentral.
UGCAAACAGGACUAGAGAUAAACUCUAUGGGU